GACGAACGCUGGCGGCGUGCUUAACACAUGCAAGUCGAACGGUGAAGGGGUCUGCUUUUGUGGGCCCUGGAUGAGUGGCGAACGGGUGAGUAACACGUGAGUAACCUGCCCCCUUCUUCUGGAUAACCGCAUGAAAGUGUGGCUAAUACGGGAUAUUCUGGGUCUGUCGCAUGAUGGGUCUGGGAAAGAUUGCGCCUUUGGGUGUUUUUGGUGGGGGAUGGGCUCGCGGCCUAUCAGCUUGUUGGUGGGGUGAUGGCCUACCAAGGCGGUGACGGGUAGCCGGCCGGAGAGGGUGGACGGUCACACUGGGACUGAGACACGGCCCAGACUCCUACGGGAGGCAGCAGUGGGGAAUAUUGCACAAUGGGCGCAAGCCUGAUGCAGCGACGCCGCGUGAGGGAUGGAGGCCUUCGGGUUGUAAACCUCUUUCGCCAGUGAAGCAGGCCUGCUCCUUGUGGGUGGGUUGACGGUAGCUGGAGAAGAAGCGCCGGCUAACUACGUG
RNAcentral lists this ribosomal RNA (502 nucleotides) under uncultured bacterium. RNAcentral describes it as "partial 16S ribosomal RNA". It matches the Rfam family "Bacterial small subunit ribosomal RNA", at positions 28 to 507 of the family's 1533-position model. The record is from RNAcentral.